Molecule: ribosomal RNA, 720 nt
Filed under: Oceanobacillus iheyensis
Lineage: Bacteria; Bacillati; Bacillota; Bacilli; Caryophanales; Bacillaceae
Description: bacterial SSU rRNA
Rfam family: Bacterial small subunit ribosomal RNA
Source: RNAcentral
GUGAGUAACACGUAGGCAACCUGCCUGUAAGACUGGGAUAACUCGUGGAAACGCGAGCUAAUACCGGAUAACACUUUUCAUCUCCUGGUGAGAAGUUGAAAGGCGGCUUUUGCUGUCACUUACAGAUGGGCCUGCGGCGCAUUAGCUAGUUGGUAAGGUAACGGCUUACCAAGGCGACGAUGCGUAGCCGACCUGAGAGGGUGAUCGGCCACACUGGGACUGAGACACGGCCCAGACUCCUACGGGAGGCAGCAGUAGGGAAUCUUCCGCAAUGGACGAAAGUCUGACGGAGCAACGCCGCGUGAGUGAUGAAGGUUUUCGGAUCGUAAAACUCUGUUGUUAGGGAAGAACAAGUACUAUAGUAACUGAUAGUACCUUGACGGUACCUAACCAGAAAGCCACGGCUAACUACGUGCCAGCAGCCGCGGUAAUACGUAGGUGGCAAGCGUUGUCCGGAAUUAUUGGGCGUAAAGCGCUCGCAGGCGGUUCUUCUGAUGUGAAAUCUUACGGCUCAACCGUAAACGUGCAUUGGAAACUGGGGAACUUGAGUGCAUAAGAGGAGAGUGCACGUGUAGCGGUGAAAUGCGUAGAGAUGUGGAGGAACACCAGUGGCGAAGGCUACUCUCUGGUCUGUAACUGACGCUGAGGAGCGCAAGCGUGUGGAUCCAUCAUGAUUACAUUCCCCCGGGUGUCCACUCCGAACACGAUGAGUGCUAUUGU